UACGUAGGUGGCAAGCGUUGUCCGGAAUUAUUGGGCGUAAAGCGCGCGCAGGCGGUCCUUUAAGUCUGAUGUGAAAGCCCACGGCUCAACCGUGGAGGGUCAUUGGAAACUGGGGGACUUGAGUACAGAAGAGGAAAGCGGAAUUCCACGUGUAGCGGUGAAAUGCGUAGAGAUGUGGAGGAACACCAGUGGCGAAGGCGGCUUUCUGGUCUGUAACUGACGCUGAGGCGCGAAAGCGUGGGGGAGCAAACAGG
This 254-nucleotide ribosomal RNA is filed under the name uncultured bacterium. RNAcentral describes it as "partial 16S ribosomal RNA". It matches the Rfam family "Bacterial small subunit ribosomal RNA", at positions 524 to 776 of the family's 1533-position model. The record is from RNAcentral.